RNAcentral lists this long non-coding RNA (2210 nucleotides) under Mus musculus (house mouse). RNAcentral describes it as "predicted gene, 30929". Lineage: Eukaryota; Metazoa; Chordata; Mammalia; Rodentia; Muridae. The record is from RNAcentral.
UUGCCAUCUCAGAGUUAACAGGAGAGCCUGUGGUAGGGAGAAAAACAAGCAAACCUAUCUUUCUUGGGCAAAGAAUACAUUUUAUGUAGGUACAUAGAAAUGUAAGUGAACUGGAGGUAUUGGUUCCACUCAUAUGACUAAAAUUACACACAGAUCAGCACAUACAUACAUACAGGCACCCACUUGUGUGUACAUCCAGUAUAGGCAUAAAUACACACAUAUGCAUAUGUACACACGUGCACACGCGCACACACACACAUAUAUUCAUACCCUAUAAAUUCUUCUGGUCUCUGAACCCAUCUUAGCAAUUUCUCUCUUUCUCUUCCUCUCUCUGUCUCUCCCUCUCCUAUGUGGCUUGGUGGUACUUACUCAGUCCAUGCACCCAUUGUCUCCCAAAACACACAUGCUCAAGCAAGUAUACACACGGGUGCACACUGAUGUGUAAGCAUGCACCCAAGGCAGGUGUGCACGUAUAGUUUACCACACCACAGACUACAGGGCAGAUGUCUCCUGCUCUCCUCUGAAUACUUUUUGAGGAGUUGGUUUCCAUCUUUGCCUGUUUUUUCUGCAUGUCUCUCUCCUCCAUUAAUCUCUCAAAGGCACACAGAAACUCCUCUUAUACAUACCAUGCCCACAUAUUUCUUCCAUUGCUUGAUCAAUACACUUCUGGACUCUAAGAACUGUUUAGGGAUGUUUCUGGGGAAUGUUAAAAAGACAUAGAAUUGCUAAUCCUUACCAGAAUUCAGUGUUAUGAUCACAUCAUUUCUUCUGGGACAGUACUGUAGGAUAGUACCAGAUGAUGAGAAUGGCACUGUGACUUUGUCACCACCUGGCCAUAAGAUCACAAGUAAAUCUUCUGAUCAUUUUGUAUUUGCAGCUCCUCAGGGAUGGUGAGGAUGCCCAAACCUGCCUCAUGAGCUUUCAAAACGGAAUCAUGGGGAAGACUGGUUCUAAUUCUUCUCUGCCUCUUAAUGGUAUCAGCUUCUCUGGGAACAACAGAGCUGUGCUUGCUGAUCAUAGAACACUCUGGAGGACGAAGUCAGCUAUAUUUCAUUUCUGGAGCAGAUACAGUGAUGGUUAUUAACAGGACAGGUCCUGUCCACAAAGGCAGCAUGGAGGUUCGGGUCCAACAGGAGCAUCCCCAUCACAGACCAGUUCCAAGCCUCUUCCUGGGAAUGAGAACUGAUGUCUUGUAUCCAUUGUGUCUUCACUUCUGUGACCACAAAAGGAUCUAUUCCUCCAUCCCACUAACUUAGGAUAUCCAACUGCCUGGAAAACAUUAACAACGUAUUUCAAUUCUACAGACUAAAUCUACUAUGUUGUUUGGUUCUAAAAUCGGUAACUCUCCUCAAGUCAUUUCCACGGAACCUUCUGCUUAACCAGUGCUGUUUCUUAUUCUUACUGUUGCUGUUAUCACUGAGGGUCCAGGCACAGUGAAAGAAUCAUAAUCAAGACUGACUUGAGAGAUACUUAGAAAGAUAAAGCAAUCAUGGAUGUUCUUCAAGGGACUAGGAACCCAUUUAUUGAACAUCAUGUAUGUAUCAGGCACUCUGCUGAAUACAUAACACAUGACAGCCUCUAAUCAUUCUAACUAUUGUAUCAGGUAGUUGUUAUGAGACUAAUUACAUAGACAAGGAAACUUCAACUAAACCUCUUUCUUCCUAGAAUACGAGACAAUGGUAGGUUUUAUUUUUGUCAGUUAAAUACACUAGUAAUAACUCAGAAUAUCCAAACAUGCAUCAGGGUUGCAUUAAGGAAAGGGAACCAAAUGAAUGCUUUCUUUCGGAGUAUUUUUACCAAUAGUAAGCCCCAGUUCGAAUUCUCUACUUUGUCCCUGUGUUUUCUGUUUUCUGCUCUCUGUUGCAUGUGUCUGAAUCUGUGUCCCUAUGUUUGCCUGAUGUCUAACUGCCCCUGGUCCCUAACAUAGAGCUCUGCUUUUUUUUUCAUUGGUCAGUGCAGAAAACAUCAGAUGGAGAAGGAAUAAGGAAUACUUUAUGGAGAUCUUUAACAGAAUUCGUUCUACAAGAGAAUGAACUUUACUGACUCCAGCUGACUCAGACAACAAACAGCACUGCAGUUAUCACUGCACACAUAGUUAUCAACCUAUGCUUCCAGUAUCCACAGUGAAUAUUUGUUUUGUAAAGUUGCUUUCAACUUAUUUGUUGUUUUCAGCAUUUAUUAAUAUACCAUCUAUUUCCACAUCCAUUGCU